This 202-nucleotide unclassified non-coding RNA is filed under the name Hevea brasiliensis (rubber tree). Lineage: Eukaryota; Viridiplantae; Streptophyta; Magnoliopsida; Malpighiales; Euphorbiaceae. The record is from RNAcentral.
GCCCAUUUUAUUUUUUCAUAAAUUUUAUAAAAAUUUAGGCAGAGUGUCGUCUGUAUUUUGAGAAAAUAGUUCUUCAAAUACCUAUAAAAAGCACUUCUAAUACUUUAUCUCAACAAUUUCAACAACUCCACAACAAUCCCAACCAAUUUCUCAAGUUUCAAAAUUCAACAAUCAUUUCUUAAUUUCCCAAAAAUUCAAUAAU